AUGCAGUCGAACGCUUUUUCUUUCACCGGAGCUUGCUCCACCGAAAGAAAAAGAGUGGCGAACGGGUGAGUAACACGUGGGUAACCUGCCCAUCAGAAGGGGAUAACACUUGGAAACAGGUGCUAAUACCGUAUAACACUAUUUUCCGCAUGGAAGAAAGUUGAAAGGCGCUUUUGCGUCACUGAUGGAUGGACCCGCGGUGCAUUAGCUAGUUGGUGAGGUAACGGCUCACCAAGGCAACGAUGCAUAGCCGACCUGAGAGGGUGAUCGGCCACACUGGGACUGAGACACGGCCCAGACUCCUACGGGAGGCAGCAGUAGGGAAUCUUCGGCAAUGGACGAAAGUCUGACCGAGCAACGCCGCGUGAGUGAAGAAGGUUUUCGGAUCGUAAAACUCUGUUGUUAGAGAAGAACAAGGAUGAGAGUAAAAUGUUCAUCCCUUGACGGUAUCUAACCAGAAAGCCACGGCUAACUACGUGCCAGCAGCCGCGGUAAUACGUAGGUGGCAAGCGUUGUCCGGAUUUAUUGGGCGUAAAGCGAGCGCAGGCGGUUUCUUAAGUCUGAUGUGAAAGCCCCCGGCUCAACCGGGGAGGGUCAUUGGAAACUGGGAGACUUGAGUGCAGAAGAGGAGAGUGGAAUUCCAUGUGUAGCGGUGAAAUGCGUAGAUAUAU
Molecule: ribosomal RNA, 671 nt
Filed under: Enterococcus gallinarum
Lineage: Bacteria; Bacillati; Bacillota; Bacilli; Lactobacillales; Enterococcaceae
Description: bacterial SSU rRNA
Rfam family: Bacterial small subunit ribosomal RNA
Source: RNAcentral